RNAcentral lists this transfer RNA (71 nucleotides) under Niceforonia brunnea. RNAcentral's name for it is "Hypodactylus brunneus tRNA-Ile". It matches the Rfam family "tRNA". From Rfam's summary of the family: Transfer RNA (tRNA) molecules are approximately 80 nucleotides in length. The record is from RNAcentral. Lineage: Eukaryota; Metazoa; Chordata; Amphibia; Anura; Strabomantidae.
AGAAACGUGCCUGAAAAAUAAGGCCCUCCCUGAUGAGGGGGAUCAUAGAGGUUAAAAUCCUCUCGCUUCUU